This 618-nucleotide unclassified non-coding RNA is filed under the name uncultured Ascomycota. RNAcentral describes it as "sequence contains ITS2, 28S rRNA gene". The stretch from base 196 to 618 matches the Rfam family "Eukaryotic large subunit ribosomal RNA", at positions 1 to 418 of the family's 3401-position model. The record is from RNAcentral. Lineage: Eukaryota; Fungi; Ascomycota.
AAACAAACGCUGAGAGCGCGUGCUACCCGCCCACAGCGGGGAGCUCGACCUCUCGACUGGGUGCCCGUCCCGCCUGGCGGCAGGACCGGCCCUGAAACACAUUGGCCAGGAUCGAGCCCGCAGCCUCCACGAGCAGUAGAUGCCGCUCUGGGGGGGCAUAGGGUCGCCCUGCACCAGGAAGCCCGCCCUUUAGUUUGACCUCGGAUCAGGUAGGGAUACCCGCUGAACUUAAGCAUAUCAAUAAGCGGAGGAAAAGAAACCAACAGGGAUUGCCCUAGUAACGGCGAGUGAAGCGGCAAGAGCUCAAAUUUGAAAUCUGGGCCCCUAACCAGGCCCCGAGUUGUAAUUUGUAGAUUGUGCUUUGGCGUAUGCGUCGGGCUAAGUGCUUUGGAACAAGGCGUCGGAGAGGGUGAGAACCCCGUACGCGCCCGCUAGCAGCCGCCAUGUAAAGCACCUUCGACGAGUCGAGUUGUUUGGGAAUGCAGCUCUAAAUGGGAGGUAAAUUUCUUCUAAAGCUAAAUACCGGCCAGAGACCGAUAGCGCACAAGUAGAGUGAUCGAAAGAUGAAAAGCACUUUGGAAAGAGAGUCAAACAGCACGUGAAAUUGUUGAAAGGGAA